GACGAACGCUGGCGGCGUGCUUAACACAUGCAAGUCGAACGGAAAGGCCCUGCCUUUGUGGGGUGCUCGAGUGGCGAACGGGUGAGUAACACGUGAGUAACCUGCCCUUGACUUUGGGAUAACUUCAGGAAACUGGGGCUAAUACCGGAUAGGAGCUCCUGCUGCAUGGUGGGGGUUGGAAAGUUUCGGCGGUUGGGGAUGGACUCGCGGCUUAUCAGCUUGUUGGUGGGGUAGUGGCUUACCAAGGCUUUGACGGGUAGCCGGCCUGAGAGGGUGACCGGCCACAUUGGGACUGAGAGACGGCCCAGACGCCUACGGGAGGCAGCAGUGGGGAAUAUUGCACAAUGGGCGGGAGCCGGAUGCAGCAACGCCGCGUGCGGGAUGACGGCCUUCGGGUUGUAAACCGCUUUCGCCUGUGACGAAGCGUGAGUGACGGUAAUGGGUAAAGAAGCACCGGCUAACUACGUG
RNAcentral lists this ribosomal RNA (468 nucleotides) under uncultured bacterium. RNAcentral's name for it is "partial 16S ribosomal RNA". It matches the Rfam family "Bacterial small subunit ribosomal RNA", at positions 28 to 507 of the family's 1533-position model. The record is from RNAcentral.